This 894-nucleotide unclassified non-coding RNA is filed under the name Zea mays. Its description in RNAcentral is "misc RNA Zm00001eb280180". Lineage: Eukaryota; Viridiplantae; Streptophyta; Magnoliopsida; Poales; Poaceae. The record is from RNAcentral.
UUGGGCACGAGGGCCAUUGGGGACCUAGGCAUCGAUGGCAUGCGCUCAGAGCCAGGCUGGAGGAAGGCCAUGCUCCCUAGAGGAGCUGCUCGCGUUGCCCUGGCGAAGGCCGAGGACGACGCGAAUAGGGAAGAGCAGGGUCAUGUGAUCUUGAGGAAGGCAGGGGUGUGCCAUGGAGCUCGUGAGCAGGGGCUAGAGGGGAGUGACUGGUGGAGUGCGCGAGCUGCUGACGGCUGUGUCGUCCCUGUACUCCAUUUCUUCCUCUUCCAGUUCGUCCAGCGGCAGCACCUAGCGGGGCACCUGCACGAGCUGCUGACAGCUGCGUCGUCUGGCACUGGUGACUUCCCAUACUUGCAACCUUCUCAACCCGCUUUCACACAGCCUUCUCGAACUGCUUUCACACAGCCUUCUCAAGCCGCUUUCAUACAGCCUUCUCAACCCGCUUUCACACAGCCUUCUCAAGCCGCUUUCGCACAUCCUUCUCAAGCUACAAUCACACAAGACAUUUCUAAUGAAGAUGAUGAUCUCAGAGUAUUAGAUCCAAUAGCCCCUACAUCAGUGAGCAAAAGGGCAAAAAAUGUUGGUGCUGGUAGUUCAAGAACAAGAAUUGACAAGCGUGGACAAGAUGGGAAGAUGGUUGAGAUGAUGGAAAGGUUUCUAGAGAUGAAAGAAAAACAAGAUGAGGUGGAGAAAAGGGCCACAACUAAUGCACAUGAGGAUGAUUUCCCUAUUCAGACAUGCAUUGCUAUUGUGGAUGGAAUGGAAGAGCUUUCUGAUGAUGAGAAGGUUGAUGCUUAUGAUGUGUUUAAGGAUGCCCAAAACCGGGCCAUUUUCAUGACUGCCAAAGAUGCUACUCGCAUAAAAUGGUUGAGGAAGAAGAUUGCAAGAACAUGA